Molecule: ribosomal RNA, 497 nt
Filed under: uncultured bacterium
Lineage: Bacteria
Description: partial 16S ribosomal RNA
Rfam family: Bacterial small subunit ribosomal RNA
Source: RNAcentral
GAUGAACGCUGGCGGCGUGCCUAAUACAUGCAAGUCGAGCGAACAGACGAGGAGCUUGCUCCUCUGACGUUAGCGGCGGACGGGUGAGUAACACGUGGAUAACCUACCUAUAAGACUGGGAUAACUUCGGGAAACCGGAGCUAAUACCGGAUAAUAUAUUGAACCGCAUGGUUCAAUAUUGAAAGACGGUUUUGCUGUCACUUAUAGAUGGAUCCGCGCCGCAUUAGCUAGUUGGUAAGGUAACGGCUUACCAAGGCAACGAUGCGUAGCUGACCUGAGAGGGUGAUCGGCCACACUGGAACUGAGACACGGUCCAGACUCCUACGGGAGGCAGCAGUAGGGAAUCUUCCGCAAUGGGCGAAAGCCUGACGGAGCAACGCCGCGUGAGUGAUGAAGGUCUUCGGAUCGUAAAACUCUGUUAUUAGGGAAGAACAAAUGUGUAAGUAACUAUGCACGUCUUGACGGUACCUAAUCAGAAAGCCACGGCUAACUACGUG